Molecule: ribosomal RNA, 501 nt
Filed under: uncultured bacterium
Lineage: Bacteria
Description: bacterial SSU rRNA
Rfam family: Bacterial small subunit ribosomal RNA
Source: RNAcentral
AUUGAACGCCGGCGGCGUGCCUAACACAUGCAAGUCGAGCGGUAACAGGUGUAGCAAUACAUGCUGACGAGCGGCGAACGGGUGAGUAAUGCUUCGGAAUCUGCCCAUGUAGUGGGGAAUAACCAGCCGAAAGGUUGGCUAAUACCGCAUACGACCCUUGCCCACAAGGCAAAGGUGAAAGCAGGGGAUCGCAAGACCUUGCGCUAUUGGAUGAGCCGAAGCGGAUUAGCUAGUUGGUAGGGUAACGGCCUACCAAGGCGACGAUCCGUAGCUGGUCUGAGAGGACGACCAGCCACACUGGGACUGAGACACGGCCCAGACUCCUACGGGAGGCAGCAGUGGGGAAUAUUGCGCAAUGGGCGAAAGCCUGACGCAGCGACGCCGCGUGGGGGAUGAAGGUCUUCGGAUUGUAAACCCCUUUCGGGAGGAAGAUGGGACGGGCAACCGUUCGGACGGUACCUCCAGAAGCAGCCACGGCUAACUUCGUGCCAGCAGCCGCGG